Molecule: ribosomal RNA, 1528 nt
Filed under: Klebsiella variicola
Lineage: Bacteria; Pseudomonadati; Pseudomonadota; Gammaproteobacteria; Enterobacterales; Enterobacteriaceae
Also listed under: 2 other names
Description: bacterial SSU rRNA
Rfam family: Bacterial small subunit ribosomal RNA
Source: RNAcentral
AGAGUUUGAUCAUGGCUCAGAUUGAACGCUGGCGGCAGGCCUAACACAUGCAAGUCGAGCGGUAGCACAGAGAGCUUGCUCUCGGGUGACGAGCGGCGGACGGGUGAGUAAUGUCUGGGAAACUGCCUGAUGGAGGGGGAUAACUACUGGAAACGGUAGCUAAUACCGCAUAACGUCGCAAGACCAAAGUGGGGGACCUUCGGGCCUCAUGCCAUCAGAUGUGCCCAGAUGGGAUUAGCUGGUAGGUGGGGUAACGGCUCACCUAGGCGACGAUCCCUAGCUGGUCUGAGAGGAUGACCAGCCACACUGGAACUGAGACACGGUCCAGACUCCUACGGGAGGCAGCAGUGGGGAAUAUUGCACAAUGGGCGCAAGCCUGAUGCAGCCAUGCCGCGUGUGUGAAGAAGGCCUUCGGGUUGUAAAGCACUUUCAGCGGGGAGGAAGGCGAUAAGGUUAAUAACCUUGUCGAUUGACGUUACCCGCAGAAGAAGCACCGGCUAACUCCGUGCCAGCAGCCGCGGUAAUACGGAGGGUGCAAGCGUUAAUCGGAAUUACUGGGCGUAAAGCGCACGCAGGCGGUCUGUCAAGUCGGAUGUGAAAUCCCCGGGCUCAACCUGGGAACUGCAUUCGAAACUGGCAGGCUAGAGUCUUGUAGAGGGGGGUAGAAUUCCAGGUGUAGCGGUGAAAUGCGUAGAGAUCUGGAGGAAUACCGGUGGCGAAGGCGGCCCCCUGGACAAAGACUGACGCUCAGGUGCGAAAGCGUGGGGAGCAAACAGGAUUAGAUACCCUGGUAGUCCACGCUGUAAACGAUGUCGAUUUGGAGGUUGUGCCCUUGAGGCGUGGCUUCCGGAGCUAACGCGUUAAAUCGACCGCCUGGGGAGUACGGCCGCAAGGUUAAAACUCAAAUGAAUUGACGGGGGCCCGCACAAGCGGUGGAGCAUGUGGUUUAAUUCGAUGCAACGCGAAGAACCUUACCUGGUCUUGACAUCCACAGAACUUUCCAGAGAUGGAUUGGUGCCUUCGGGAACUGUGAGACAGGUGCUGCAUGGCUGUCGUCAGCUCGUGUUGUGAAAUGUUGGGUUAAGUCCCGCAACGAGCGCAACCCUUAUCCUUUGUUGCCAGCGGUUAGGCCGGGAACUCAAAGGAGACUGCCAGUGAUAAACUGGAGGAAGGUGGGGAUGACGUCAAGUCAUCAUGGCCCUUACGACCAGGGCUACACACGUGCUACAAUGGCAUAUACAAAGAGAAGCGACCUCGCGAGAGCAAGCGGACCUCAUAAAGUAUGUCGUAGUCCGGAUUGGAGUCUGCAACUCGACUCCAUGAAGUCGGAAUCGCUAGUAAUCGUAGAUCAGAAUGCUACGGUGAAUACGUUCCCGGGCCUUGUACACACCGCCCGUCACACCAUGGGAGUGGGUUGCAAAAGAAGUAGGUAGCUUAACCUUCGGGAGGGCGCUUACCACUUUGUGAUUCAUGACUGGGGUGAAGUCGUAACAAGGUAACCGUAGGGGAACCUGCGGUUGGAUCACCU